This is a long non-coding RNA of Engraulis encrasicolus (European anchovy), 445 nucleotides long. RefSeq lists it as uncharacterized. The record is from RefSeq and is a predicted model, not a curated record. Lineage: Eukaryota; Metazoa; Chordata; Actinopteri; Clupeiformes; Engraulidae. The transcript is spliced from 4 exons.
CUCUGGACCUCCUGACUGACAGCUCCAUCCUCAACCUCCCUUCCUGUCCUUCACACAUGUGCAGGCAGAGGCAGUUUUCUGAAGGAUGGUUAAUGUCAGUAUCAACAUGUUGUGAUGGAGGCUUCCACCUGAGCUGAACACAGAAACUUGCACACAGUGAUGGAAGCAGUCGUUCCUGUUCAGCAUUGAUAUGCCGGUAAUGGGUUUGAUGAGCCACAGCGUGGUGAUGGGCAAUCAGCAUCAGGACCAGGGCCGCUCACAAGGAGAACCUCCUGCCCUGCCUCUUCAUCCUCAACCUCCAAUCUUCCUGCUCUUCACACAUGUGCAGGCACAGAGCCAGUUUUCAGAGGGAGGGCUGAUGACACCAGCAACUUCGGAUCUGAACCUGAUCAACCCAGCACCAACCACUGUGCCGCUCCUCCUCUGCCAACUGCACCACAUGGCU